UGCGGGGUAGAGCAGUCUGGUAGCUCGUCGGGCUCAUAACCCGGAGGUCGCAGGUUCGAAUCCUGUCCCCGCUA
This 74-nucleotide transfer RNA is filed under the name bacterium. Its description in RNAcentral is "tRNA-Met". It matches the Rfam family "tRNA". Rfam says of the family: Transfer RNA (tRNA) molecules are approximately 80 nucleotides in length. Their secondary structure includes four short double-helical elements and three loops (D, anti-codon, and T loops). The record is from RNAcentral. RNAcentral also lists the same sequence under 12 other names.